This is a long non-coding RNA of Musa acuminata AAA Group (dessert banana), 3279 nucleotides long. RefSeq lists it as uncharacterized. The record is from RefSeq and is a predicted model, not a curated record. The transcript has 3 exons. Lineage: Eukaryota; Viridiplantae; Streptophyta; Magnoliopsida; Zingiberales; Musaceae.
AGUAAGGCCUCCCAUUGGUCGGUAUCCGUGGUUCCCACAGUCUUGCCAUCCUUCCCACGGUGCGAGGGCUCGGGAUAACCCCUUCGAUUUGGAACCCUAAAAAGAUCAUUUUUGUUCUUCUUCUUGUUCCUCGGAAGGCUCGAGAUUCCCGCGGUAGAGCGUAUAUUUCUGUGGGAUCACGGCGUUUCCACUUCUCCCAGGAUCAUUAACUGCUCUGCCUCCGGGAGUCCGGCGCAUUGCGGAACUCUCCAGCGUGCUUUGCCUUCUGCUCUCGUCCGUUGCCAUCGUUAUACUGGAUGCAUUCCGUUCUUCGACUAGGGGAUUCCAGGUGAUUCUCAUCCUUAUCCUUCCUUGAUCAUUUUAUCGGUCGUCGAUGGGUCUUUCUUUCGUUCUUUGAUCGCAAGUAGUGUCGCUUCAACGCGCCAUUUUGAGCGGAUUGCCACGCUUAUUCGCAUAACGGAAAGACAAGCUUUUCUUGGUACGUGACGAGGGUGCCAAAGAUCAACUCUCUAUGGAUGUUUUCAUGUACCAACAAGAAUUUGCGUGUAUUAUUCCGUAAACUAUUCUCGAAUGACCAAUAUAUUGCUUCAAGGCUAGCGAGGGUAAUCGUUCGUCACUUCUAUGGAGUCUACACAGCUCACAAACGCGCACUGUAUAUCGUUGUGGGAUAUUGCACAGUGCAGCAGCAUCACCCAGUGCAUCAUAGGUUGUAAGUUUGGCAAUUGAUUCUUCUGAGCCAUCUUCUCGAACAGCAACUGCCUCCUAUGUGGAAAAAGAAAUUUCCUAUUUAUUCAACUGCUGCUUUGUUAUUUCUUAUUUGCUCCUAUAAUACCUAUGUUGCCUUUUUAGACAAUAUAAUUAAUGUACAUUGGUCAAGUUUACAUUUCCUCCUUGAAAUGAAUGGAACCUAAGGCUACAACAGUCUAUUCUGACUCUAUUGUUUUAGGAAACAUAGCUCCGGAUUGAACCAGCAUGCCAUUGACAUUAAGGUAGUUGUAGUGAUAAAGCCUUUUUAUGCCUUAUGAGAAAUCUUGGUUGAAGUUCAUUGGGGAUUAUUUGGUGCUGGUGAUUUUAAUAAACCAAUACAGGUGAAGAUUGAUACUUUCAGAUUUGGUUCCGAGAUUUUAUAAUAAAAGAGGUUCAGACUUCAGAGCAUAAGAUAAACUUCUAUUUGAUGACAUUAUUGGUCUCAAGAGGCAUCAUAGGACGAGCUAGGAUAGUUUUUCAUCCUGAGAGGUUUGGUAAUAUUAUUUUAUAGCAUGUGCCAUGACAGUUUUUCAUGUGGAUUACUGCAGAAACUUAACAACUUGGAUUGCAGUUCUAAAUUUCUAAUAACUUUUCUUCAACCAGAGUUGUCUGUAUGCCUUUUUUCCAUAGUUAAUUGUUAUAACGUCCAGAAGUCUUUUCUCCUGAAAUAGGAAACUGGUUUACAUCAUUAUAUUUGUUUAAUUUCUCUUUCUCGUUUCCUACCAAUUCUAAGUAAUUCACUGUACUGAUAGAGAACUAACUUUAUGCCACUGAUCUUAUUUGAAUGAUACUGUCUCUUCAUUUUAAUUCUAGCUUUCUUACAUUGUGAGAAGCUCGGCACUUACCAGAUAUCCUAAUAAUAUAAUAUAGACUUGAUCCGCAGGACUUCCUUGUUCUAUGACCACUUCUCCUGGGAGGAAGAAUUCUUCAUUCAGCAUCAUUACCUGCAUUCAGUGUAAAAAAUUUCCGUAACACUAGAUUUGUGUUAUAAGUUCUUGUUAAAUGCGUAAUGGCAAAUAAAUAAUCUCUAAAGUGGUAUAUUGCAAAACAUACAAUCUGAUUAAGGAAUUCAUCUGAACAUCCUUGGAAAAGUGGAACUUUCUGGAUCACAUCAAGGUAUAGAAUUUGAGAUAUCUGCAAAAGUAUUUUGUAGAAUAAGUUUAAUUACUAUAACAAAAGAAUGAUUAUAUUCUGUAAUUAAAAGUAACUUUCACGAAAACUGAUAUGUUUUGUGAUGCUAAUCAUGACCAAGUUCUUAUGAUUGUGCAAAAGAAUAAUUGUACUUUACUGACAGUAAACAGGAAACCGAUAUUAGGAGCAAUAAACAUUAAAUAUCCAUGAUAAAUUUAAUCAAGGAAUUAUUGCUUUUCACUUAAAAAAAAAAAUUCGUGAACCCAAAUAUUUGAUCAAAAAUCCUUAAUGUUGUUUAUUUUGACAAUUGUUACAAGGCAGAAAAUGAGCCAGAGAUGAACUGUAUUUCCUCUGCCGUAUAUGAAUAUGAUCAUAGUUAGCUUGCUUCUUUUUCUUCUUAGAAUUUCUGAUGUUAUGAAAUGUCUGGCAAACUUUCAUUUUGUUUCUCUUUAUUUCAUUACUUAAGGAUGCACAAUUACCUUUGAUCGCAAGGCCAUUGGGACGUCUUCGAGAACACUUUCUUUGUUGUAGCUACUUUCAUACUGUAGUCUUAAAUGGUUUUUGAUCUGAGAUCUGAUGUCUUUCCCAAGUUUGUUUCUGUUCAUGUACUUGAUGAGGUCUGUCAUUUUGUCUCGAAAUUGCUCAGUCUUGGACCCCUUGACAAUCAAUGCAGUCAUAUUACCAAUCAGAUAGGCGCCAAGUAUCAUUGUCAGAGAAAUAUAUAUCAUGCUGAAAACCAUCUCUCUAGUAUUCACAGCAUGUACAUCACCAUACCCUGCAAUAGUAUUGGCAUGAUGUGACAAAAAAUGUCAAAAUUCAAUGGAUGAAAUGAUGGAGUCCCAAGGAACACAUCCAAGAAGAUCAACAGCGAAGCUACCCUUCAGAUAGCUGCAUCACAGGAAUCAAUUUCCAGUCUUAAGUCCCAGACAAAGUGUUCAUUUUCGUGGGAUUAUAUUAAAGUAUGCACUGGUAAUCGAUCAAAGGUGUUAUGAACUAGUGGUUUCCUGCUUUUGUCCAUUUAUAUGCAGUGAUUGAGCUUCUCCCAUCUCAGGGGUAAACAGUGUUGGAAGUGUCUCCACUUCUACAUGGAUGAACUGUCCUAUAACUGGAAUGAAAGGUGUUCCUCUUAAAGGAUACUCGUAAAUGAGAAGUGGCAUUGAAAUGGCUCUUAUCUUUUGUGUCAUGGUGCCAACCUUGUUGUCAUUCAAGCUGGUGGAUAAGUUGUAUCAAUACUUGGUUUCAUGAGGUGGUGGGUGGGUUUCAUACCCUAACGUAAUCUAGCAAUAUGCUCUUAGUGCAAGCAGGUCACCUUCCUCGAGUCUUAACAGCAUGUUUCAGCUUUCAUGUCUAUCUAAUUUGUCCAAACCUUCAUAAACUCUAUCAAAUAGACAUGUUCUAACU